RNAcentral lists this ribosomal RNA (429 nucleotides) under Actinomycetes bacterium. RNAcentral describes it as "Actinobacteria bacterium partial 16S ribosomal RNA". It matches the Rfam family "Bacterial small subunit ribosomal RNA", at positions 355 to 776 of the family's 1533-position model. Lineage: Bacteria; Bacillati; Actinomycetota; Actinomycetes. The record is from RNAcentral.
UAGGGAAUCUUCCGCAAUGCGCGAAAGCUUGACGGAGCAACGCCGCUUGAGUGAUGAAGGUCUUCUGAUCGUAAAACUCUGUUAUUAGGGAAGAACAAAUGUGUAAGUAACUAUGCACGUCUUGACGGUACCUAAUCAGAAAGCCACGGCUAACUACGUGCCAGCAGCCGCGGUAAUACGUAGGUGGCAAGCGUUAUCCGGAAUUAUUGGGCGUAAAGCGCGCGUAGGCGGUUUUUUAAGUCUGAUGUGAAAGCCCACGGCUCAACCGUGGAGGGUCAUUGGAAACUGGAAAACUUGAGUGCAGAAGAGGAAAGUGGAAUUCCAUGUGUAGCGGUGAAAUGCGCAGAGAUAUGGAGGAACACCAGUGGCGAAGGCGACUUUAUGGUCUGUAACUGACGCUGAUGUGCGAAAGCGUGGGGAUCAAACAGG